GACACUCUAGCUAUAAUUUUUAGAAAGUAAACUUAGCUUUCAGUUUUUAGAUUGAAAGAAAAUGACAGUUCUUUUCGAGGACAUCAUACCAAGUGAAAUAGGAAAUGGAAGAAGUUCGCUACUUGGAGAGAUUAUGAAUGGUUCUGAUACUGCCAAAAUUGGUCCCUGCUUCACUGUAACAAAGUAUUGGAACAGUGGAUGUCUUACAGAUUUAUUAAAGUGAAAGUACAUUUUCAGAGAGAGAGAGAGAACUCAUGUGUACGCAGGUUAAAAAAGAGAGCUCAACUCACUUUGCAAUAGUCUUUAUACCCCACAAGAUGGACGUGAGUGGAGACCCAAUUUGAUGUUCUGAUUGGUCUUGGGCGGGAUACCAUAUUUGCAUGGGGAACAGGUUAUAUGGUGGUCUGGUGAGGAAGGGGUGACAUCCCUUCUCUAGCAGGGAGUGAGCAGCCCAGGCUGGUCAAGGUGGGGGAAGGGGCAUUACAAUGAGACUUGGCCAAAGGCUUUUGGAUUUAAUCUCCUAGAAGGGGACUUGAAGCCUAUAACUGUUCUGUGGUUUGUGUGGAGAGGGUUCUGGAGUGUUCCUCUCUUUACCUCUGUAGCAAGAAACGACAGAUGUUUCCCCUUGUUUAUAAAUGAGUGAAGGGUCAGGGAAGUGGAGUUGGAACAAGAAUUACUUAGGUUUCUUCCACUUUAAGAACAAUAAUACCUAUUGUACAGGUCUUGCUAUAUACUGAGCAUUUUACCACGUAUAAUGCUCAGCACAACCUUGUUAGGGAUAUCAAUAUCCACAUCCUGUUUACACUUGUGGAAAUCUAGGCAGUAAGAGAUAAGUACCUGGCCCAAGAUCAUGCAUUUAGUUUUGAGUCAGAAGUAAAAUGCCGACUUGUGUGGCAACAAAUCCUUUGUUGUUAAUUUCUGACCUCUACUGUUGGUCUUUAAAAGCCAGAUACUGUUUCAUGCAAUUGCACUCAGUGAGAUAAUUUUUUUUGGUCAGCAUUAUAGAUUAGUACAUUUUGGUUUGUUUAAAAGAAAUUCAUUCUUUCCUGUUAGAGUUGCAAAUAUGUUCAAAGUUACAUAUAAAUGUAACUAUAAUACAUAGAACUCUAAUAGAAGCAAAAUUAAAUAUGGAGGACAUAUCAAUAGUGCAUAUUUUGAAAAACAUCUAACAGAGAUUGCCAUGGGUUCGAAGUACCUGAAUUAAUUUUUACAGUUGUUGUUGUUGUUUAAUAAGGACACUUAAACCAAUAGAUUUUAGUUACUGGCACAUAGCAGUGAAAACCCAGGGAACUCGUCUAGUGCCAAACUUUGCUCAAGGCCUGUUCCAUUCAGGUGAACCUUAGCCUGCAGGGAUAAACCUUGGCCUGCAGGAGGGUUUGUUGACAGCUGACAACGUUGAUUUAUAGAGAAAAUAACCUGAGUAGAUGAAUCUCACUGGCAGGAUCCUGUACUUAGGAUGCUAAGGAAUAAAAAUUACUAUCAAAGCAGCUCAGAGAAGUUGAGUCCAGUUCCAGAAAUGCUGAAUCUCAGGUCUCAUUCUAGACUGGCUGAAAUAACAUGUGCAUUUGUGCAAGAUCCUUAGCAAUUUGUAUGCAUAUUAGAGAUUGGUAAGUGCCACCAAAAACAGGAGAUCCAAAGGAAUUUUUAAUUCAUUCUUGCAAAAUUGUGCUUUGGUCUUCAAAAGAUGUUCAUCAGAAUCAGCUGCGAGGCUUUAAAAAGAUACAUUUGCCAGGCCAUUGAAUGGCAUGUUGCAUAAGUUUUCUUAGGACAUCAGUCAAACCACUCCACACACACACACACACGUAAACACUACUCCCAAGAUAAAUACAUUUUAAGAUGUAUAUGGAUGAUUCUAAUAUGAUCAAAAUUUGAAAAACCUGAGUUAAAUCUAGCAGAUGCAGAACAGGUCAUCUAAUAUAGAAUCCUUCUGAGAAAGGAGGUUUUUUAUCCUAACAUUUACUCAAGGGCCAUCAGUUCUAAACUUAUUGGUCAUUUAAAGUCUGGUGGAAUGCUACUUCAUUCUUAAAAUCUUUUCUCAAUGCCUAUUUCUUUCAAAGUAAAAGUAUUAUUUUUCCUUUAAAUCCCCGCACAUCUUUACCUGUACCUCUGCUAUGAAACACUUCACAUUGUUCUGUACUAUUAUGUACACUGUUGAUGACAUACAUGCUCAAUUAUCAUUAUAUUUUCCAUAAUACCUAGAAGGUGAUUUAAAAUGUCACAUAAUCAUCAGUAGGUUGUGAAAACAAAGGAAUAGACAGAUGACUACAUGAAAAUCAGUGUCAUAGAGUCAAAUCUCAGAUGAACAAGGAAUUAGGAGACUUAGGUAAAGACCUUGAUAUGCUAUUAAAUUAAUUACGGCCUUGCGUUCACUGAACCUCUCUUUUUCACCAGUUCAUUUUGUAGAAAUAUUGCGUGCAAUUUCUAUUGACUCUUGGCAGUGCAUAUAAGCCUUGAAACAAAAUAAUCAACUAUUUUCUUGAACUAAUUUUACGUUUAAAAAGUAACUUCAUGUGUCUCAAAUUUACUUAUACCUAACUAAUCAAUCCAUAACAUCAUAGCCAGUUCUUCUUAAUUAUUGUGAUUACAGAACAGAGAUAUCAUAGAACAUUCAAUUUUCAUAUUCAAGUAUGCCUGAAUUCUAUUACAUGACUCUAUUAAUUUUCUAUGCUGUGUAAUAAAUUAUACAAACUUAGUGGUUUAACAGCAUAUACUUAUUAUCUUGCAGUUUACUAACAGAAGUCUCGGUAGGGUUUAGCUAGUUUUUCUGCUUUAGUGUAUAAAUUGCAAUCUAGGUGUUAACUGAGAUUGAGGUCUCAUCAGAGGCUUGACUGGAGAAAGAGCUGCUCUGGGGUUCUCUAAGAUACUUUGUUUAUAACCAAAGGAGACAAUUUCACUAAGUUUUUUGCUUCUUUAUAACUAGGUUCCCCCUUCCUUCUGAGCCAUAAAUGAUAGCAGCCUUCACGUCCAUAUUUCUACAAGUCUGUUCAAUUUGAUGUAGGCUCUUUUGUGCUCAUCAAAAUUCUUCCAGCUUCUUCCCACUUCCUAGUUUCAAAUGCACUCUCACAUUUUAGUCAUUUGUUAUUUUGCUUUUGUCCAUUAGAACUUGUGAUGCCAAAAUCAUUAUCAAUUUUCUAUUGUUGUGUAACAAUUUAACACAACACAUUUAUCUCACAGUUUAGGUGGGUUAAAAUUUCAGACCUUAAUUCUCCAUCCAAGUCCUACUCCGAGACCCUCUGGUGUCUGCCCAUUGUCUUCUCUUCUUGUUUACAUCAUGGGAGCUAGGGUCUUGCCCUCUGCUGAUGACCCCAUGGCCCCACUCAGGGCAGUCUAUUCAGGUUGAAGGGUCAAACACAGUGAAUAUGGAUGAUGGGGAUGGCUUACCUGGGUCCUCUACUCAGAGUCUUACAAGGCUACAGUCAGCUUUUCAAUUGGACUAUGUUCUUGUCUGGAGACUCCUCUAGGCAAUGAUCCAAUUCAAAACUCAUUCUUUGUGUCAGCAGAAUUCAUUUUCUUGCAUCUGUAUGAACAAAAGCCCUGGCUUAUUACUGUCUAUGGAGAGGAUUAGGUAAGAGAGGAUUUUUUGGUCUGCCUCAGGGGACUGAUAGCUGCCAGAUGACAGACAGCAAGAAAAUGGAGAAUUUAGUCCUAUAGUUGAUUAGAACAUGAAGUCUACAAACAAUCUCAGGGAGCCUGGAAGGGGACCAUUCCCUAUUCAACCUUCUGAUGAGAGUUCAGUUCUGGCCAACACCUGGAUGUUAGUCUGGUUCGACUUGUGGAGUGAUGUUUGUAACCUUUAUUUUAACGUUCUCAUCUCAUUUGCUACAUGAAUCAAAAUAAUUCAUUCAGUUUUCCUACUUAAUUUCUUCAUAUGUAGAAGAAUGUAUUAUGAUAGUUAAGCACACAGACCCUGCAAACAGAAUCCUAGGUUCGCAGUCCUAGCUUUGCUCUGUGUACUAACUUCUCUAAGAAUAGGUUUCUUUUCCUAUAUAAUGCUACAAUAUCAGAGUUGUUUACCUUUUCACAGUGACAACUUAUUGGAUGAGUUUUAAUUCACAGUCUGUUUAUUCUUUUCAUUGCUAUAAAUUCUAAAAUUUGAAGACUCAGGAAAUAAGGGAAAAGGAAGAAAGCCAGCAUGUUUGCCAUAUCUAGGCAUCAAAUAAAGCAUAAUUCUUGGUGGCAUCUUGCUGACUUUUAUUGUUACCUCCUUCUUUAUUAACGUGAUGCUUUUAUCUAACCACCGUCGUAUCAGUAGUUUCAGUUAUGCUUUCUCACUCAUAUUUCUUUCUCAUUAUUUUCUGUGUCUUUACUUUUAUAAGCAUCUGUCUUGAUCUGUUUGAAUUGUUAUAACAAAUACCACAGACUGGGUGGUUUAUAAACAACAGAAAUUUAUUUCUCACAAUGCAAGAUUGGAGUGUCAGCAUGUUUGGGUUCUAUCUUCUGGAUUGCAGACUGUCAACUUCUUGGUGUGUCCUCACCUGGUGAGAAGGUCCAGGGAGUUUUGUGGGGCCUCUUUUAUAAGGUCAGUAAUCCCAAUUGUGAGGGCUCUUUCCUCAUGAUCUGAUCAGUUCUUACAGGCCCCACUUCCUAAUAUCACCUUGGGGAAUAGAAUUUCAGUAUAUUAAUUUUGGCGAGAUAAAAUGUUCUGACUAUAGCAAUACCCCGAUGUCUGUCUCAGAGUCAGCCAUUUAAAAUUCCAAAGAAACUAGGUGCAAAUAAAUAAAAUCCCUGAUAUGGGAAUGUUUAUAAGAACCUGAUGUGAUGGGAUAGACAUUAAACUAGUAUCAGAAGAUAUUGGUUCCUGUUCUGUCUCAAGCACUAACUUGCAAGUUAAAGAAUAUUUAAGACCCUCAAUUCCUAUAUCAUGUGUGGGGGUUAAACCAGAGCCUAAUUCCCUUUUAACUACCAAAUCUAUGUUUCUUUAUUGUUUGGAAUAUAUUUAAUUGAAAAUGAAUGUCUGAGCCAGAAACAAGGAUGGGAUGAGAAAGCCCUUUUGAGUGAUACUAAGUAGCUCUCUUACCUGAAGGUUUGUGAGACUUCCCAGGGCAGCUGGGAAUAGAUUUCUCCGAAGUGGCAAAGACUGUCCUUCUCUUUCACCCUCCAGCUCUGCUUGGGAGUUAACAUCACAUAUUUCAUCUAGCAAUGUGAAGCGAUGAUGGAAAGAAGGGCUUUUCUUGCUUACCACAGUUAAAAAUGGGUUUCCCAAAUCAGAGUCUGGAGAGCUGGGUUUUUGGAACAUCUUUUAAGAACAAGUAAUCUUUAAAUGAUUAUGCUUUUAAAUAUACAAACCCCAUAUUUCAUGCCUAGAUUCUCAUCAGUAUUAAAGAAAAUUACUAAAACUCUUUUUACUUGCUUAAUCUUUAUUCAAGGCAUGCACGGUGUUUCUUUAAGGAUGCAUUGUGCGAUGAUUGUUAAAAUUAAUUAUUACCUACUAUCAAUAGACUUAAAAAAUAAAGUACAUUUAGGUCCUUUAUACUUAAACAGUGAUUUCAAAAAAUGUAUAAACACAUAAAAUGUAGUUUGAUAAGGCUUCAUAUACACAACUUUCAGUGUAAAACAAUCAAAUGUGACAUCAUUUUCCAUUAUUAUUGAUUAAAAAAACUAAAAUCCAGAGUUGCUGUGGCAUAGGCCUGGGAACUUCCACAUGCCACAGGCAUAUGGCAU
This 5661-nucleotide long non-coding RNA is filed under the name Sus scrofa (pig). Its description in RNAcentral is "lncRNA (ENSSSCG00000056558.1)". Lineage: Eukaryota; Metazoa; Chordata; Mammalia; Artiodactyla; Suidae. The record is from RNAcentral.